RNAcentral lists this small RNA (16 nucleotides) under Arabidopsis thaliana (thale cress). Its description in RNAcentral is "ATSL303470". Lineage: Eukaryota; Viridiplantae; Streptophyta; Magnoliopsida; Brassicales; Brassicaceae. The record is from RNAcentral.
AAUAUCCAUCAUCUGC